GCAGGGUCCUCGGAUAUAUCUGGUAUAGGUCACUUGUUUAAUGGGGACUGUUGGGGUGGUUGCUUCAGUCAACUGCGAGAGAUCAGUCUUUUGCAUUUUAUUCUUGGUACAAUAAAAGGUGUGUUUAGGAGCAUGCCUUGGCAUCCUGAAAGGGAAUUGCAGACAGAUUUGAUCACCAGUAUGAUGUAAAUGGAAAUAGAUAGCUGCAGCUGAACACACGGGUGAGGUUUGAAGUUAAAACAGAUUAAAAAAUAUUAUGUCUACUGGAAUCAUAAUUAAAGGGCACAUUGUAUUGGUGUUUAUAGUUCAACAAACCAUUAAAGGAAUAACUCGUCACACUGCUCUGACCAGUUUUCGCUCCACCCCGAUAGGUUCAGGUCAGAUUCCAGAGAUGCAACGAGAGAAGGAGAUGUGGGUUCACCUCUGUGCACACCCAGAAGGACAAUGCCCUCACUUUCGGCUCAACCAUUUAAUGUUUUAUUUUUUAGAAGCAUAGAAAAUAGGUGCAGGAGGAGGCUAUUUGGCCCUUCGAGCCUGCACCACCAUUCAUUGUGAUCAUGGCUGAUCAUCCACAAUAAUCAGUGCCUGCCUUCUCCCCAUAUCCUUGAUUCCGCUAGCCCCUAGGUUCCGAGAACAUUAUCUAACUCUCUUUUAAACUUAUCCAGUGAAUUAUACUGCCUUCUGUGGCAGAGAAUUCCACAAAUUCACAACUCUCUGGGUGAAAAAGUUUUUUCUCUUCUCAGUUUUAAAUGGCCUCCCAUUUAUUCUUAGACUGUGGCCCCUGGUUCUGUGGCCCCUGGUUUAAACUGUGCCUGAGCAAUAAGGUAAAAAAGAGAGGACAAAAGAAGCAAUGUGUACAUUCGAAGCUAAACAUAAACAAAGCUGCUACUAAAGAGCAUUGAUUGGUGAGGCCACACCAGGAGGAUUGUCGAAGACUGGUUCCCUUAAGAAAUUAAAAUGUUGGCAGUCUAGAAGAGAUUCCCUGGGAUAAUCCCUAGAGAGAUAGUUUAAUUAUCAAAGGCUAAAAGAUUUAGAGUAUUUUUGUUAGAGUAGGAAGAAUAAGCGAUGAUUGAAUGUGCACAAAAAUGUCUGAAGAAGGGUGUCGACCUGAAACGUCACCUACUGCUUUUCUUCAGGUAUGCUGCCUGACCCGCUGAGUUACUCCAGUUAUUUGUGUCUAUCUAAGAUCCUAAGGAUUCAGGGAGAUGUUGAGAUGUUUCCAAGAGAGGGAGAGUCUUGAUGGAAGGGACAGAGUUACAAAAUUUAGAGGCAGUCAUUUAGAUUGGAGAUGUGUAAGAACUUCUGCCCGGAAUGGAUGGUGAAUCUAUGGAAUUCCCCACCCAUUUUUCAGAUCUAGUGGUCAUAUUGAAUGGCACAGCAGGUUUGAAAUGUCAGGUGGCCUAUCCUUGCUCAUAUUUCUUAUUGUUUGUGUGUUGGUCAAGAAGAUAAGAAUUCGGACGAAUAUUUCCCUGGAAGUUCUUCUUUGGAACUUCAGUAGAUCGGAUAGAAUACACAAAAGUAUUCUCGUUUAUGAAACAUUUUGAGUUCAUCAGCUUAAUGGAGAGGUUAAUGAUUAGAUUUUACUCCAAUGAUGAUAUAAUAUCAUCGAUAUUAAUAUUGACAAUUUUACAUGUCCAUACCAGUGGAGCAGGUAAUACAGAAGGAAAAAUAAACCAACUGUAUAAAUAUAGUGUUACGGCUACAGAGAAAGUGUGUAAACAUGUGCAAGGACAGAUAUGAGAUAAAUUGGAUGAUUAGGAAUUGAUCCUUAGCAUGGUGGGAGUUCGACAACAGUCAUGUUCAAGUCUCAGUUCAAGAGACCUAUCAAAAGCUUUUCAUUGUACUUCGGUGACAAUAAAUUAUAAACUACCACUAAACAGUAGAGAUGAUGCUGUACUUGAAUCUGGUGGUACUUGCUUUCUGCUUCUGUAUUUUCUUCCUGCUGCGAGAGGGGUGAGGAGAGAAUGACCAGGGCGUGGCUGUCUUGCCGCGACAACACCAAGUAUAGAAUGUACCGCAAGGCUCUGUGCCGGGACCGCAGCUAUUUACAAUAUACAUCAAUGAUUUAGUUGAAGGGAUUCAAAGUAACAUUAGCAAAUUUGGGUGGCAGUGUGAACUGUGACACAAAGCUGGGUGGCAGUGUGAAUUGUGAGGAGGAUGCUAUGAGAAUGCAGGGUGACUUGGACAGGUUGGGUGAGUGGGCAGAUGCAUGGCAGAUGCAGUUUAAUGUGGAUAAAUGUGAGGUUAUCCACUUUGGUAGCAAAAAUAGGAAGGCAGAUGAUUAUCUAAAUGGUGUCAAGUUGGGAAAAGAGGAAGCACAACGGGAUCUGGAACUGAUCCUGAGUCUAGAGAACCUAUAGAAUCUAUAGAAUCUUUAGUAGGGAGAGGUUAAAGAUGUCUGUGAAUACUCGUGCCAGGUGGUCUGCGUAGGUUCUUUUGCGAAUGGUUCUUGACUCCAUCCGGGCCUGUCUAUCUCCGUGGCAACUCUAUUGGUUAAAGGCAGGACAGAUAUUUUCUCGUUUGCCAAUUACAACCGGUUUCACAUGGCCUCGGAGAAUUAGGAGGCUUUUAUUGAAACCGGUUCCUCAGGUAUGUCUGGUCUGUAAUGCGCUAGUGAAAUCAUCCGUCAUUUAUCUGCAAUUCAGACGGGUGCUGGUAUGAACUGGUCUUAUCCAGCUGAGGUUGAAUUCUGAGAAUAUUCUGUGAUUACUUGGAAGGUCAUUUUUUUUUGAGGUGAAGAACAUUGGACCGUGCCAGCCUUUGGGGGCUAAAGCUACCUUUGCUUGGAAAUUAGCUGCUCCUGAAAAGCGAUGUCAACUCCUGACGGUAGACACAAAAAGCUGGAGUAACUCAGCGGGUCCGGCAGCAUCUCUGGAGAAAAGGAAUAGGUGACGUUUUGCAUCGAGACCCUUCUUCAGACUGAGAAUCAGGGGAGAGGGAAACUAAAGGAUAUGAGAAGGAAAAUCUACAGAAGAAAGAACAGUCAUCUGGAGAAUCAUUGCAUUUAUUUAACUUAAAAUAUGUUCCCUGUUCUCCCCGAAACAAUUAUACUGGAAUGAUCUAUCAUAAGAGGCUAUCCUGCCUUAUAUUUUAUAGAUCUCUGUGAGGAACCAACUGAGUCUAUACUGUUUCAAACAUUAGAUCAUCACUGAAUAAUAUGUCUGAGUACCACCGACAAUAGUUUCUUUGCUUUGUAGCCACAUGAUUAUUGGGGAUUAAACAUCAAAUCUGCUUGGCAUGAAGUUCAUGGAAAAAUAGUGCACAACCCACAACAGACAGGCAGAUUUUCAGUACAUUUUGAAAUGCGGCCAACUUUCUCUUUGGAAACUGGCAGACCUCUCUACAUUGAAGAGCUUCAAUAGGUUUUGAACAAUUUGGAGAAUUAAUUCCUGCAUUUUGGCUGGAUCAGAAAUCCCACAUCCUACAUAGUUUUCUAAUACAUUUCACAAUCCAAAUCCCCAUGUUUGAUUUGCACCUUAAUUGCCCCCUUAAUUCUUUGUCUCUUUAAUUGAACUGUACCACUAUCUUAUAAAUAAGGAACUGGCAAUGCUUUAUUAUACACCCGGCAGUUGUAAAUGUGGGUUUACUGCUAAAACAGCUGUCCAGUAUUUUCAAUUAACCUGUAGUU
Molecule: long non-coding RNA, 3628 nt
Organism: Leucoraja erinaceus (little skate)
Lineage: Eukaryota; Metazoa; Chordata; Chondrichthyes; Rajiformes; Rajidae
Exons: 3
Source: RefSeq, a predicted model, not a curated record